GAUGAAGAACGUAGUGAAAUGCGAUACGUAAUGUGAAUUGCAAAUUCAGUGAAUCAUCGAGUCUUUGAACGCACAUUGCGCCCCCUGGUAUUCCGGGGGGCAUGCCUGUCCGAGCGUCAUUGCUGCCCUCAAGCACGGCUUGUGUGUUGGGCCCCGUCCUCCGAUCCCGGGGGACGGGCCCGAAAGGCAGCGGCGGCACCGCGUCCGGUCCUCGAGCGUAUGGGGCUUUGUCACCCGCUCUGUAGGCCCGGCCGGCGCUUGCCGAUCAACCCAAAUUUUUUAUCCAGGUUGACCUCAGAUCAGGUAGGGAUACCCGCUGAACUUAAGCAUAUCAAUAAGCGGAGGA
RNAcentral lists this unclassified non-coding RNA (346 nucleotides) under soil metagenome. RNAcentral's name for it is "partial contains 5.8S ribosomal RNA, internal transcribed spacer 2, and large subunit ribosomal RNA". The stretch from base 1 to 119 matches the Rfam family "5.8S ribosomal RNA", at positions 35 to 154 of the family's 154-position model. The record is from RNAcentral.